This is a long non-coding RNA of Pezoporus flaviventris, 536 nucleotides long. RefSeq lists it as uncharacterized. The transcript has 3 exons. The record is from RefSeq and is a predicted model, not a curated record. Lineage: Eukaryota; Metazoa; Chordata; Aves; Psittaciformes; Psittacidae.
UGCUCCUGCUUACUCUACGUAAAAGACCAAAUCAGAUGAGGAUCACAUCCUUCUUUCCCUUACAAACUGGAAACCCUCCCAGUGAUGACCACUGUCACAGCUGCACUGUGGUACUGAUGGAAAGAGUAAGUUUUCCUGGACACCACAAGAGUGACCUUGCUUGUGCAACCUCCUUGUGGGUCUCUGUGAUGCCGAGUCCCCCAUCAAAGCCCAGUCAUCAGGAGUCAAAAAUAAAACUAUAACACAAUGUUUCAUCAUGAUUUCUCCCCUUCUCCCUCAGCACGAAGAGCUGCAUUAUAGGAUCUCACAAAAAGCUUUACAGAAAAUAAUACAUACUUAGAAGGAGAAAUGGGGUUUGCCACUUUCUCUUCUGAGGAUGUCAACAGCUUCUGGGGACAACACUCCUUGUCUCUGCCACCACCUCAAUUCAGAGAAACCACAAGCCUGUAAUGAGUUGCCAAGAUGAGGUUUUUGCCUUAGUUAUACCAUUCCCAGAGAUUCUCACACUGGGAGAAGGGAGGAUUAAAGACAGAAAU